RNAcentral lists this ribosomal RNA (497 nucleotides) under uncultured bacterium. RNAcentral's name for it is "bacterial SSU rRNA". It matches the Rfam family "Bacterial small subunit ribosomal RNA", at positions 1 to 518 of the family's 1533-position model. The record is from RNAcentral.
AGUUAUGGCGUCAGGAUGAACGCUGGCGGCGUGCUUAACACAUGCAAGUCGAACGAAGCACUUCUCGUCUCGGAAGAGAAAGUGACUGAGUGGCGGACGGGUGAGUAACGCGUGGGUAACCUGCCUUAGUAACAGGGGGAUAACAGUUGGAAACGACUGCUAAUACCGCAUAAGCCAACGAGGUCGCAUGGCCUAGUUGGAAAAGAUUUAUCGGUAUAAGAUGGACCCGCGUCUGAUUAGCUAGUUGGUGAGGUAACGGCUCACCAAGGCGACGAUCAGUAGCCGGCUUGAGAGAGUGAACGGCCACAUUGGGACUGAGACACGGCCCAAACUCCUACGGGAGGCAGCAGUGGGGAAUAUUGCACAAUGGGGGAAACCCUGAUGCCAGCAACGCCGCGUGAAGGAAGAAGUAUUUCGGUAUGUAAACUUCUAUCAGCAGGAAAGAAAAUGACGGUACCUGACUAAGAAGCCCCGGCUAACUACGUGCCAGCAGCUGC